CCUACGAGAGGCUGCAGUGGGGAAUAUUGCACAAUGGGGGGAACUCUGAUGCAGCGACGCCGCGUGAGUGAAGAAGUAAUUCGUUAUGUAAAGCUCUAUCAGCAGGGAAGAAAGUGACGGUACCUGAAAAAGAAGCUCCGGCUAAAUACGUGCCAGCAGCCGCGGUCAUACGUAUGGAGCAAGCGGUAUCCGGAUUUACUGGGUGUAACGGGAGAGGUGGUGGCAGAGCAAGUCCGAAGUGAAAACCCAAAGCUCAACUAUGGGAAUGCUUUAGAAACUGCUCAGCGAGAGGGCAGGAGAGGGAAGUGGAAUUCAUGGUGUAGCGGUGAAAUGCGUAGAUAUUAGGAGGAACACCAGUGGCGAAGGCGGCUUGCUGGACUGUAACUGACACUGAGGCUCGAAAGCGUGGGGAGCAAACAGGAUUAGAUACCCGGUAGUC
This 439-nucleotide ribosomal RNA is filed under the name uncultured bacterium. RNAcentral describes it as "partial 16S ribosomal RNA". It matches the Rfam family "Bacterial small subunit ribosomal RNA", at positions 338 to 795 of the family's 1533-position model. The record is from RNAcentral.